This 87-nucleotide transfer RNA is filed under the name Escherichia coli. RNAcentral's name for it is "tRNA-Leu". It matches the Rfam family "tRNA". From Rfam's summary of the family: Transfer RNA (tRNA) molecules are approximately 80 nucleotides in length. Their secondary structure includes four short double-helical elements and three loops (D, anti-codon, and T loops). Lineage: Bacteria; Pseudomonadati; Pseudomonadota; Gammaproteobacteria; Enterobacterales; Enterobacteriaceae. The record is from RNAcentral. RNAcentral also lists the same sequence under 7 other names.
GCGAAGAUGGCGGAAUUGGUAGACGCGCUAGCUUCAGGUGUUAGUGUCCUUACGGACGUGGGGGUUCAAGUCCCCCCCCUCGCACCA